GACGAACGCUGGCGGCGUGCCUAACACAUGCAAGUCGAACGGAACUGUUUUGAAAGAUUUCUUCGGAAUGAAUUUGAUUUAGUUUAGUGGCGGACGGGUGAGUAACGCGUGAGUAACCUGCCUUCAAGAGGGGGAUAACAUUCUGAAAAGAAUGCUAAUACCGCAUGAUAUAUCGGAACCACAUGGUUUUGAUAUCAAAGAUUUUAUCGCUUGAAGAUGGACUCGCGUCCGAUUAGUUAGUUGGUGAGGUAACGGCUCACCAAGACCGCGAUCGGUAGCCGGACUGAGAGGUUGAACGGCCACAUUGGGACUGAGACACGGCCCAGACUCCUACGGGAGGCAGCAGUGGGGGAUAUUGCGCAAUGGGGGCAACCCUGACGCAGCAACGCCGCGUGAAGGAUGAAGGUUUUCGGAUUGUAAACUUCUUUUAUUAAGGACGAAAAAUGACG
This 449-nucleotide ribosomal RNA is filed under the name uncultured bacterium. RNAcentral's name for it is "bacterial SSU rRNA". It matches the Rfam family "Bacterial small subunit ribosomal RNA", at positions 28 to 457 of the family's 1533-position model. The record is from RNAcentral.